Arachis ipaensis is the source of this 786-nucleotide non-coding RNA. The record is from RefSeq and is a predicted model, not a curated record. NCBI's taxonomy places the organism in Eukaryota, Viridiplantae, Streptophyta, Magnoliopsida, Fabales, Fabaceae.
CUUUCUUGUCAAAAAUGGAAGACAAUGGUUGCUUACCAAAUGCUGUGACUUAUGAAAUAAUCAUUCGUGCUCUGUUUGAAAAAGGUGAAAAUGAUAACGCAGAGAAACUUCUUCGUGAAAUGAUAUCUAGAGGCCUAUUGUAAGGAUAAAAGUAGUUAUACCUGAAGCAUAUUGUACCAAAGCAAUCAACUUGAUAAAAAAGGUUACUGAUUCAAACUUCAAAGCCAAAGGAUUUUGAUCAAACACUAGCCUCUUGCGCAAUCUCGAAGCACCCCAAAGACUAGCAAGAAACAUUUGCACAGGUUAAUGCUCAAAAAUGUUGGAAUACUCUAUCAUGAAGUGCAUGUUCCCAUAUAAUCAUGUUAAGAAAAAUAAUAAACCUAUAAACUUUACAAUUAAAAUGAGAAACUUUGGUGGUAUAUUCGGGCUUUUAAGUUCAAAUCUCAUUAAAGCUAAAAUAUUGUGUUAAGAAACAUUUAUGUGAUCAAAUCUGGUUUUAAUAAAACAAUUAUGGUAAUUUUAUAUGAUAGGAAUUGUUCAGUAGAGAGUAUUUUCAUUUGUUCGCUGAGCUAAACUUGUAGGUUGAUGGCUUGAUAACUUUCAUCUUUAUGCUGGCUCUACCAUAGAUCAAAUGAUUCAUUUGAAACGUUCUUGGAGUUAUCAUGAAAAACGUUGGUCCAUUUGUUUGUUGUUUUUCUUUUUCACAAAAAAAAAAUGACAUUAAAAAUUUUGAAAAAAUGGCAUUUAUCAUUGUCUUUUUGAGGUUUUUUUUUGAAGGUGGAAAUA